This 274-nucleotide ribosomal RNA is filed under the name uncultured bacterium. RNAcentral's name for it is "partial 16S ribosomal RNA". It matches the Rfam family "Bacterial small subunit ribosomal RNA", at positions 523 to 796 of the family's 1533-position model. The record is from RNAcentral.
AUACGGAGGGGGCUAGCGUUGUUCGGAAUUACUGGGCGUGAAGCGCGCGUAGGCGGAUCGUUAAGUCAGGGGUGAAAGCCCGGAGCUCAACUCCGGAACUGCCCUUGAUACUGGCGAUCUCGAGUCCGGGAGAGGUGAGCGGAAUUCCUAGUGUAGAGGUGAAAUUCGUAGAUAUUAGGAGGAACACCAGUGGCGAAGGCGGCUCACUGGCCCGGUACUGACGCUGAGGUGCGAAAGCGUGGGGAGCAAACAGGAUUAGAAACCCCAGUAGUCC